Molecule: ribosomal RNA, 497 nt
Filed under: uncultured bacterium
Lineage: Bacteria
Description: partial 16S ribosomal RNA
Rfam family: Bacterial small subunit ribosomal RNA
Source: RNAcentral
GAUGAACGCUGGCGGCGUGCCUAAUACAUGCAAGUCGAGCGAACGGACGAGAAGCUUGCUUCUCUGAUGUUAGCGGCGGACGGGUGAGUAACACGUGGAUAACCUACCUAUAAGACUGGGAUAACUUCGGGAAACCGUAGCUAAUACCGGAUAAUAUUUUGAACCGCAUGGUUCAAAAGUGAAAGACGGUCUUGCUGUCACUUAUAGAUGGAUCCGCGCUGCAUUAGCUAGUUGGUAAGGUAACGGCUUACCAAGGCAACGAUGCAUAGCCGACCUGAGAGGGUGAUCAGCCACACUGGAACUGAGACACGGUCCAGACUCCUACGGGAGGCAGCAGUAGGGAAUCUUCCGCAAUGGGCGAAAGCCUGACGGAGCAACGCCGCGUGAGUGAUGAAGGUCUUCGGAUCGUAAAACUCUGUUAUUAGGGACGAACAUAUGUGUAAGUAACUGUGCACAUCUUGACGGUACCUAAUCAGAAAGCCACGGCUAACUACGUG